Long non-coding RNA from Sarcophilus harrisii (Tasmanian devil), 749 nucleotides. RefSeq lists it as uncharacterized. NCBI's taxonomy places the organism in Eukaryota, Metazoa, Chordata, Mammalia, Dasyuromorphia, Dasyuridae. The transcript is spliced from 3 exons. The record is from RefSeq and is a predicted model, not a curated record.
GAAGAUUUGCCCGCGCGCGGCCGUCCGCGGCUGCAUAGCAUCACAGCCGUUACGGGUUCGGCUGGGGGGACAAUCGAGUUACUGCGCUUCCCAGGGCCAAAGGAAGCCGGGCUGCCAUCCCUCCCGAGCCCCGUCCGUUUGUUUGUCUGCUCAUUCAUUCAGCCGUUCCUCCUCCCUCCCCCAGUCUCCCUUCCUCUUUCCCCCAAGUCUCCGUCACUCCCACAAACAAGGAAACGCAAGAGCUCCAAUCCUUACCUGGCCGGGUGAAAGUCGCCCAGCCCCAAGGAGGCAGAUGGAGGCGGGGAGGAGGAGGAGGAGGAGGGAGGAGGGAUUCGGCUCAGCUCCUCCGGCCGUUCUGCCCGGGCUCCAUCUCCGGGCGGCCCAACGAGCCCCUGCUAGCAGCUGCUUCUUUUACCGAGCCCCAGGGCACGGCAGAGGAGUCCUCCCGCCCCGUCGGGCAGCUCGGGGGGCAGACAGAUUUGAAAUGAUGGAAUCACGGAAUAAAUGUGAGUGACAAAUCUGAAGACACCAUAAUUUCCCUCAAAGCCAACUCCAAUGAUGUCACCACAAAGAGCCAAGGGAUCUGACUCUUAGCAGAUUCAGGGUAAAGUGGAAGAAAUGCCAGAGCUGGGAACUCUGAGGGGAAUGAAGGAGGAAGAAAUGUCUCUGUAACUGCAAUGAAGGAGGACUAAAUGUCUCUGUUAGUGCACAGGAUGAUGAAUAUGGAAAUAUGUUUAGAAGAAUUGCAC